RNAcentral lists this unclassified non-coding RNA (424 nucleotides) under Hevea brasiliensis (rubber tree). The record is from RNAcentral. Lineage: Eukaryota; Viridiplantae; Streptophyta; Magnoliopsida; Malpighiales; Euphorbiaceae.
AAAUAAGAUGCGCUAGGGAGGUGACAAAUUCAUAUUUAAACUAUUGCUCUAAUAUUUAUGACCAGGGAAGUUCUCAUCAAUGUAUGUAAUAUCUCACAAUAAUCCCAUGCGCUCCCCUGUAGUAACUGCUUGUUAUAGUCCGGAAACGUUCCUGUCCAGCAGUAUCCCAAAUUUGCAGCUUGAUUGUCUUUCCAUCCUGCUCCACAGUCCUAAUUUUGAAAUCAACUCCAAUGGUGCUAAUGUAACUGUCAACAUACGAAUCAUCGGCGAAUCUGAGAAGAAGACAGGAUUUGCCGACAGAAGAAUCGCCGAUCAACAACAGUUUGAACAAGUAAUCGUAUUCGUUGCUCAUGUUUGCUUCUUCCCUUCUUUUGGCUAACAGAGUUUUCUGAGAAGUGAGAGAGAUGAUUUCUCUUUUCGUGUG